Molecule: ribosomal RNA, 497 nt
Filed under: uncultured bacterium
Lineage: Bacteria
Description: partial 16S ribosomal RNA
Rfam family: Bacterial small subunit ribosomal RNA
Source: RNAcentral
GAUGAACGCUGGCGGCGUGCCUAAUACAUGCGAGUCGAGCGAACAGAUGAGGAGCUUGCUCCUCUGACGUUAGCGGCGGACGGGUGAGUAACACGUGGAUAACCUACCUAUAAGACUGGGAUAACUUCGGGAAACCGGAGCUAAUACCGGAUAAUAUAUUGAACCGCAUGGUUCAAUAGUGAAAGACGGUUUUGCUGUCACUUAUAGAUGGAUCCGCGCCGCAUUAGCUAGUUGGUAAGGUAACGGCUUACCAAGGCAACGAUGCGUAGCCGACCUGAGAGGGUGAUCGGCCACACUGGAACUGAGACACGGUCCAGACUCCUACGGGAGGCAGCAGUAGGGAAUCUUCCGCAAUGGGCGAAAGCUUGACGGAGCAACGCCGCGUGAGUGAUGAAGGUCUUCGGAUCGUAAAACUCUGUUAUUAGGGAAGAACAAAUGUGUAAGUAACUAUGCACGUCUUGAUGGUACCUAAUCAGAAAGCCACGGCUAACUACGUG